This 468-nucleotide ribosomal RNA is filed under the name uncultured bacterium. Its description in RNAcentral is "bacterial SSU rRNA". It matches the Rfam family "Bacterial small subunit ribosomal RNA", at positions 29 to 507 of the family's 1533-position model. The record is from RNAcentral.
AACGAACGCUGGCGGCGCGUCUUAAGCAUGCAAGUCGAACGAAUGUCCACCCUCGGGUGGGCGGAAGUGGCGGACGGGUGAGUAACACGUGGGUAAUCUGCCCUCCGGUGGGGAAUAGCACAUGGAAACAUGUGAUAAUACCGCAUGAUACGGUACGGCGGAUGCCGUAUCGGGAAAGCUCCUGCGGGAGCGCCGGGGGAUGAGCCUGCGGCCCAUUAGCUAGUUGGCGGGGUAAGGGCCCACCAAGGCGACGAUGGGUAGCCGGACUGAGAGGUUGAACGGCCACAUUGGGAUUGAGACACGGCCCAAACUCCUACGGGAGGCAGCAGUGGGGAAUAUUGGGCAAUGGGCGCAAGCCUGACCCAGCAACGCCGCGUGAAGGAAGAAGGCUUUCGGGUUGUAAACUUCUUUUACCAGGGACGAAGGACGUGACGGUACCUGGAGAAAAAGCAACGGCGUAACUACGUG